UGGGGAAUAUUGCACAAUGGGCGCAAGCCUGAUGCAGCCAUGCCGCGUGUAUGAAGAAGGCCUUCGGGUUGUAAAGUACUUUCAGCGGGGAGGAAGGGAGUAAAGUUAAUACCUUUGCUCAUUGACGUUACCCGCAGAAGAAGCACCGGCUAACUCCGUGCCAGCAGCCGCGGUAAUACGGAGGGUGCAAGCGUUAAUCGGAAUUACUGGGCGUAAAGCGCACGCAGGCGGUUUGUUAAGUCAGAUGUGAAAUCCCCGGGCUCAACCUGGGAACUGCAUCUGAUACUGGCAAGCUUGAGUAUCGUAGAGGGGGGUAGAAUUACAGGUGUAGCGGUGAAAUGCGGUGAGAUCUGGAGGUAUACCGGUGGCGAAGGCGGCCCCCUGGACGAAGACUGACGCUCAGGUGCGAAAGCGUGGGGAGCAAACAGG
Molecule: ribosomal RNA, 429 nt
Filed under: Chloroflexota bacterium
Lineage: Bacteria; Bacillati; Chloroflexota
Description: Chloroflexi bacterium partial 16S ribosomal RNA
Rfam family: Bacterial small subunit ribosomal RNA
Source: RNAcentral